UGGGGAAUAUUGGAUAAUGGGCGAAAGCCUGAUCCAGCCAUGCCGCGUGUGUGAAGAAGGUCUUCGGAUUGUAAAGCACUUUAAGUUGGGAGGAAGGGCAGUAAGCGAAUACAUUGCUGUUUUGAAGUUACCGACAGAAUAAGCACCGGCGAACUCUGUGCCAGCAGCCGCGGUAAUACAGAGGGUGCAAGCGUUAAUCGGAAUUACUGGGCGUAAAGCGCGCGUAGGUGGUUCGUUAAGUUGAAUGUGAAAGCCCCGGGCUCAACCUGGGAACUGCAUCCAAAACUGGCGGGCUAGAGUAGGGCAGAGGGUGGUGGAAUUUCCUGUGUAGCGGUGAAAUGCGUAGAUAUAGGAAGGAACACCAGUGGCGAAGGCGACCACCUGGGCUCAUACUGACACUGAGGUGCGAAAGCGUGGGGAGCAAACAGG
RNAcentral lists this ribosomal RNA (429 nucleotides) under Pseudomonadota bacterium. RNAcentral's name for it is "Proteobacteria bacterium partial 16S ribosomal RNA". It matches the Rfam family "Bacterial small subunit ribosomal RNA", at positions 355 to 776 of the family's 1533-position model. The record is from RNAcentral. Lineage: Bacteria; Pseudomonadati; Pseudomonadota.